Long non-coding RNA from Panicum virgatum (switchgrass), 2228 nucleotides. RefSeq lists it as uncharacterized. NCBI's taxonomy places the organism in Eukaryota, Viridiplantae, Streptophyta, Magnoliopsida, Poales, Poaceae. The record is from RefSeq and is a predicted model, not a curated record. The transcript is spliced from 3 exons.
UCUUUUUGAGAAGCAUAGAUCGCAAUCCAGAGAUAGCGUUUCUGUUCAAGAAUGAGCAACCGUGGCGUGCUCUAGCUUCUACCGGCGACGUCCGCUACUCCCGCCGCCGUGCGUUCAGCUUUGUCCCUCCGUGGAUUCCACGCGCCUGGCGCCUUCGCCUCAGCAUUACCUCCCGCGCCGCCGCUCGCUGGCUUGGCGUGAGAGCUCUGCUCGUCAAGCCUUCGCUGCUUCCUGAUUCUCCCAGGCGCUGCCGCCGCUGGCUGCGGCCAACGUCAAGCGCCUACAGCUUGCCCGCCGAGUGGUGCUCUGCUCUCUCGGCUCCGGCCACCAUCCCCUGGCCAGCCUCACGCAUUUCCACUUGCCAUAUCAUUAUCAUCUCUCUCGCCGGCUAGCAUCUGGGCUGACUGGUGCUGGCAGCUGGUAGCGCUCGAGGUGCUCGACGCUUUGUCCACAACGAGCCUCAUGCCAUUCUCGUAAAGCAAUUCUCUACUCUUGCUAAUGCAAACACUGCGGAGACAUGCCAAGUAUGGAUCUCUUGGAAGAGCAUCACGCAAGAGUGACGUUUUCAGCUAUGGAAUCAUGCUCCUAGAAGUCUUCACUGCAAAGCGACCCACAGAUCCUAUGUUCACCGGAGAGCUGAGCAUUAGGCAGUGGGUGUAUGAUGCAUAUGCGACUGGGCUUGCCUCUGUUCUGGACAACCGGCUGCUGCAAGAUGAAGCACUUUCUAUCCGUGAGCUGAAUGGCACACUUUCAUCGAUAUUUGAGCUGGGUUUGCAAUGCUCAAGUGACUCACCUAACCGAAGGAUGUCAAUGAGAGAAGUGGUGGUAAGAUUGAAGAAGAUCAAGAAGGACUACGCCAAAUCGAUAUCAGCAAACAUGCAGAGUGCAGUGCCGGUUGCAGACUGUGUACAGACUGUGUUUUCAGAAGAUCUCGUUACGGUGUUUGGAGCCUUGGAGGAUGGAGUUAUUGCAGUGCCGGUUGCAGACCGUUCUUUGCUCUACUUAGACAUGGAUAUAUCAUCCAUUAGGUUGUCGAAUGAAUCCUGAUUCAAUUUUGUUUGUGGAAUCCUUGAGCAGAGUACAGAUCUCUCAGAAAGGCAUCGUGCAAGAGCGAUGUGUUCGGUUAAGGAAUCAAUGCUCCUAGAAGUCUUCACUGGAAAGUGACCCACACAUCCUAUCUAAGUAUCUAGGUUCGUUGGGGAGAUGAGCAUCAGGCAGUUGGUUCGUCAAGCAUUGCGAACUGACCUUGUCUCUGUUCUGCCUGCUACAUGAUCGAGUUUCUUUCCGCAAUAUUUGAGGUGGGUUUGUUCUUCUCAAGUAACAGCGGAUAGACGGAAUGCACGCUCGCGGUGGCGCCAUGAUCGGAGCCCUGGUGCAUUCAUCGCGCGGCUGCUCUUUUAUUUGCCCGCCUCGGGGGGCUGCGAUAUUGUUGGAUUGCUAGGGUAGUUAAGAUGAAUGGAGCCUGUUUCUUAUCCCAAGGCUUGAUCCGGCAACGGAGCUUCGAUUCCAAUCAGGAGGUACCCUUGCAUCUAUGCCUCCGGCGUUACCCUCCGUCGAGUUCACUUUCUCGCAGCAGCGUACCCCGGCAAACGGGCCCUCUCUCUCUCUCUCCCGCAGAGAAGCUGCCGCGGCAGCGCCGGCAGUGGCCCAGGUGUUUGGCUCGCCGGUGGCCAGAAGCGAUGAGGCUCCGUGGCGCUUAUGGCUCACGGAGGCGACGCCCGUACCCAGAUGGCGGUGGCGUGGACCAGGGCGGCAACCAAUUUCUGUUCCUCUUCUUCUCAGACUGUUACAGAGUGAGAGCGGGUCUGCUCGUUCGCCGGCGCUGCUCAUCGCCUCGUAUCUCCGGCCAAGCAUUCCAGCAGGAGUUUGCAGGGGGUGCCCGGUGCCCCUCCAUGGAUCAGCUUGCUCGUCUCAGUUACCUGUCUCUCCACUGACCUCAACCUCAAGAGACAAGCCACACGGGCUCAUCAAUCGCUGGUAACCUAGGAAGAUUGGUUUGUCUCAAAUUCCUUCAGAUUUUACCUAUGAUAUUACAUUAUACGUCUCUCUCUUGGUGUGAUAUUGGAUUGUGUACUGUGAAGAAGUGCAGAAUUAACCAGAACUUGAAACUGCUAGUUUUUCUUGGACAUCUCAAGAAGCUUUAUUUUUUCUCUCUUCUGUUUCUCGUUUUGGUUAGGGCCAUUGUGGUGCAAAUGAACAGCCUGACAGUUAGCCUAUUAAUUUGCUUA